This is a long non-coding RNA of Balaenoptera acutorostrata (minke whale), 1172 nucleotides long. RefSeq lists it as uncharacterized. The record is from RefSeq and is a predicted model, not a curated record. NCBI's taxonomy places the organism in Eukaryota, Metazoa, Chordata, Mammalia, Artiodactyla, Balaenopteridae. The transcript is spliced from 3 exons.
UCUCCGGCGGACGCCGGGCUCAGGGGCACGUGCUGCCCCCGCCCCUGUGCGCCUGCGGCUUCUAGCUCGCAGUCCCCUGCGCCGAGCUUUCGCCUGGCUUUCCGCGGGAGCCUUCCCGCGGGUCCUCGGCUGGCAAGUACAGGGAGCGAUGGAGAAGGAAGUUAGGGCUGCCGCUUUCUCUCCCCACUCCAGCGGCGGCGUUCAGUCCUCUGGGCGGGAUGUGCUCGCAGCAGCAGUGGCGGCGGCGGCAGCAGCGGAGGCGCCCGAGCCAUGCACCCCGCAGGCGGGGACGAGAGGAUGGCCGAGAGGAAGAGACCGGGGUGAACCAGCCCAGUGAAGUGCCAGGGCCGCAGAGCUGCGCCGGAAAUCUGUCCUGGAGAAGCCUUCUCCUCCAGCCUGGACACUUUAAGCAGAGGUGGCGGCAUACAGCGUGAGGCUGCACAGCGGACGGCGAGCCUCCCUAGUUCCGACGUUGCUCUGACCUGCGGAGAUGACAAGUGAGCAGGAAGUGUCCGGCCGGGCCAUCCCCUUCAGAAAAUCAUGCAUACAGGGACCGAAGCAGUGAUUUAUGCUGUGACAUAAUAUGUUUUUGACACAAAAAGUACUUGUCAAAAAUGCAAGAUACAAAAGCAGCUAUUCUAAGUGUUUUAAAGGGAAGAAGGAAAAUCUGGCUUUCUUCAGUCAAUAAUACAUCUGACAUAAAUAAUGACUGAAAACUGACAGCUACAAGAUGUGAUUUAGGUGCUCUGAAUUCGUCAAGAUGAAAAGGCAGAGGAUGUUUUUCAAAAGAGCACUUAAGGGACUUCCCUCGUGGUCCAGUGAUAAAGAAUCCACCUUCCAAUGCAGGGGACGCAGGUUCAAUCCCUGGUCGGGGAACAAAGAUCCCACAUGCCGCGGGGCAACUAAGCCUGCGCGCCACAACUACUGAGCUCGCAUGCCUCAACUAGAGCCUGUGUGCUGCAAACUACAGAGCCCACACGCCCUGGAGCCCAUGCGCCACAACUAGAGAAGAGAAAACCCACACGCCACAACUAGACAGAAGCCCGCGCACCACAACGAACAAACCACGCGCCCCAACGAAAGAUCCCACGUGCCUCAAGGAAGAUCCCAUGUGCAACUAAGACCUGACGCAGCCAAAUAAAUAAAUAAAUGAGCACUUAAAACCGCAGCAG